AGAUGUAGAGUCGAAAUGGAGCAGAUGCGAAAACAGAGAAAAUCGACACAUCUGUAACGAUAGACUCAUUAAUUUACCAGACAAGUAACGGCAUCAACCAUUGUAUGUUGAGGAGGAUACCUGACUAAUGUCUGGACAGAAUAACUAAAAUUCCAUCAUUUUCAAUUACACGGUGGUAAUACACAAAAUGAUUCAAAACAAACAAGACUUAAACAUUC
This 218-nucleotide long non-coding RNA is filed under the name Cicer arietinum (chickpea). Its description in RNAcentral is "long non-coding RNA (CARI_LNC003787)". Lineage: Eukaryota; Viridiplantae; Streptophyta; Magnoliopsida; Fabales; Fabaceae. The record is from RNAcentral.